CCUACGGGAGGCAGCAGUGAGGAAUAUUGGUCAAUGGGCGAGAGCCUGAACCAGCCAAGUCGCGUGAAGGAUGAAGGACCUAUGGUUUGUAAACUUCUUUUAUAUGGGAAUAAAGUGAUGAACGUGUUCAGUUUUGUAUGUACCAUAUGAACAAGUAUCGGCUAACUCCGUGCCAGCAGCCGCGGUACUACGGAGGAUGCGAGCGUUAUCCGGAUUUAUUGGGUUUAAAGGGUGCGUAGGUGGUUAAUUAAGUCAGCGGUGAAAGUUUGUGGCUCAACCAGAAAAUUGCAGUUGAUACUGGUAGACUUGAGUAUAUUUGAGGUAGGCGGAAUGCGUGGUGUAGCGGUGAAAUGCAUAGAUAGCACGCAGAACUCCGAUUGCGAAGGCAGCUUACUAAACUAUAACUGACACUGAAGCACGAAAGCGUGGGUAUCAAACAGGAUUAGAUACCCCAGUAGUC
RNAcentral lists this ribosomal RNA (460 nucleotides) under uncultured bacterium. RNAcentral describes it as "partial 16S ribosomal RNA". It matches the Rfam family "Bacterial small subunit ribosomal RNA", at positions 338 to 795 of the family's 1533-position model. The record is from RNAcentral.